AUUCCGGCAUUGGGAGGCAUUGCCUGCCCAGUGACAACUGUUUAACGGCCGCGGUAUCCUGACCGUGCAAAGGUAGCAUAAUCAUUUGUUCUCUAAAUAAGGACUUGUAUGAAUGGCCGCACGAGGGUUUUACUGUCUCUUACUUCCAAUCAGUGAAAUUGACCUUCCCGUGAAGAGGCGGGAAUGCACAAAUAAGACGAGAAGACCCUAUGGAGCUUUAACUAACCAACCCAAAGAGAAUAGAUUUAACCAUUAAGGAAUAACAACAAUCUCCAUGAGUUGGUAGUUUCGGUUGGGGUGACCUCGGAGAAUAAAAAAUCCUCCGAGCGAUUUUAAAGACUAGACCCACAAGUCAAAUCACUCUAUCGCUCAUUGAUCCAAAAACUUGAUCAACGGAACAAGUUACCCUAGGGAUAACAGCGCAAUCCUAUUCAAGAGUCCAUAUCGACAAUAGGGUUUACGACCUCGAUGUUGGAUCAGGACAUCCUGAUGGUGCAACCGCUAUCAAAGGUUCGUUUGUUCAACGAUUAAAGUCCUACGUGAUCUGAGUUCAGACCGGA
Molecule: ribosomal RNA, 560 nt
Filed under: Phascolosoma esculenta
Lineage: Eukaryota; Metazoa; Annelida; Sipuncula; Phascolosomatiformes; Phascolosomatidae
Description: partial 16S ribosomal RNA
Rfam family: Bacterial large subunit ribosomal RNA
Source: RNAcentral